Molecule: RNA transcript, 2010 nt
Organism: Panicum virgatum (switchgrass)
Lineage: Eukaryota; Viridiplantae; Streptophyta; Magnoliopsida; Poales; Poaceae
Gene name: beta-taxilin-like
Exons: 13
Source: RefSeq, a predicted model, not a curated record
GUGUAUUUUAGUAGCGGGAUAGAGGCGUCCCCUGUUUUCUCCCGACUUCCCCCCGAACCCCCGCGCGUGCGCGUGCGCCGUUCACGCCGCCGGCCUCGCCGUGCUCCACCGCCGACCCGACGUGCUCCGCGCCUGCCCACGCCACGCCCCACCGUUGGACUCCCUCACAGCCCCUGUGCAAUACUUGCCCGGCCUCUGCAACCCGCAGGCAAACCCGCAGUCUAGGGUUUCCACGGGGAUUUGCCGAUACCGGUCGUCGAUCCGCCAUCUCCGGCCGCCGCGCCUCGGCUUGUACACCUCCAGCGACCCCCCCUGCACCGCCUCCUUCAUAUCAAGAGAGCCAAUUUUCCCAACGAGAAUGGAAGGCUCGACAAUGGAAGGCUCGCCGGCGACACGCCUCCCGGAGGCUGACUCCCUCCCUGAUGGCUUCGUCGAGAGCUCUGGCGUGUGCAUGGCCUCUACUCCAUCCCCUGCACCCGCCUCGGAGGAUCCACCACAUGUCACUCUUGACUCAGAUUGCCCCCCAGCCACCAGCCCAGGCGAUAGGGAAACCCUGGGCUAUCCCUCUAUCCCCACCCCAACUGUUGAGGAUUCCUCCUCGGGCGCUGCCGAAGCCUUGGAGGCACUCUCUUUGCAUGCCGCUGUGGAGCCGGAACGCGCUCUAGGGGAGCAUGGAUCUGGCAAUGCUGCAAAAGACGCUGAAGAAUCCUUGAAGCAGAGUUGUGCAGCUGAACAAGAAGGAUCUCUAACUGCUCAAAAGCAAAAGGAAAGCGGUGAGCCAAAACGCAAGGUCGUGAAGCGUAGUAAGUUCGAGAAGGACAGAGAGCUGUUUGAACUUGCCCAGCAAUACCACAAAGUGGUGGCAGAAAAGGAUGCAGCCAUUGCAGUCAAAGAAAAACUAGAAUCUCUUUGUAGAGAGUUUCAGCGUCAAAACAAAAUGCUGAAGGAAGAGUGCCGAAGGGUGUCGACAGAGGGGCAGAACAUGCGUAUGGAAUUGUCUGAUAAAUUCAAUAAUGCCAUAAAGGAUGUGAGUGUCAAGCUUGAGGAGCAGAAAAAUGAAUGCAUUGCUCAGCUAGAAGAGAACAAUCUGUUGAGAAGUAAACUCAAAGAUCUCGCUGAUCAAUAUAACAUUACUCAGCAGAAAUAUGCUCACCAGUUGAAAGAGAAGAUGCUGGAACUUGAGCUUGCGGAUCUGAAACUUCAACAGCAUCAAGAGAAGGCUGCUCAGGAACAUACCCAAAUGCAGUUAUAUGCUGAGCAAGUUUCUCAGCUUAUGACUACUGAGAAGAACCUGCGGCUGCAACUAGCUUCUGAUGGAGAAAGAUUUCAGCAGUUUCAGGAUGCCCUGUCAAAAAGCAAUGAAGUCUUUGAAACUUACAAGCAGGAGAUGGAAAAGAUGAUCUCGGUGAUAAAGAAUCUGAAGAAGGAGAAUGAAUUUCUGAAGGGUAAAUGUGAGAACUCAGAUAUCGCUCUUGUGAAGCUCAUCGAAGAGCGUGAGCUAACAAAGAAGCAAAUAGAGAAGUUGAAAAAUCAAAAGGAGAAGCUUGAAUCCCUGUGUCGUUCGCUACAGGCAGAAAGGAAACAAGCCCCCUCCGCCAGUACUCCGGAGGCCCCCUCUAGCCAAGAUGUGGCAGUGACAAGCCAAGAUUCAUAAUGCUUGUGUUGUGUGCUUCAUCUUUCUGAUGUGCUUGCCAAUGUUUCAUUGGCCCCACCUACCGCUUGCCCGAGAUUUCUGAAGCCUGAGAAAAUGUGUGAGACUUCUGUGCACUGGGCACGUUGAUGUCACACCCAACCCAACUAGCCUACCGCCUGCGGGCCUUUGUGUUGGGGAGUACGGAGAGAUACUUGACAGCCCCUGGCGUUUUGAGAUUGUUGCCAGAGGGGUGGUAGCCACCUGAAUGGCUGAAACUUUUGCAUGCUAGUGACUCGCUAUUACUAGCAGGCAUAUGUAGUCCUCCAACUGUAUCUUUUUCCCCUUUCGUAUAAGGGAAUUUUUAUAAUCUUUUUUUU